GGGGAAUUUUGGACAAUGGGGGAAACCCUGAUCCAGCCAUGCCGCGUGCGGGAUGAAGGCCUUCGGGUUGUAAACCGCUUUUGUCAGAGACGAAAAGGGACGUACGAAUAAUACGUUCCGCUGACGGUAUCUGAAGAAUAAGCACCGGCUAACUACGUGCCAGCAGCCGCGGUAAUACGUAGGGUGCAAGCGUUAAUCGGAAUUACUGGGCGUAAAGGGUGCGCAGGCGGCUGUGCAAGACAGAUGUGAAAUCCCCGGGCUUAACCUGGGAACUGCAUUUGUGACUGCACGGCUAGAGUUUGUCAGAGGAGGGUGGAAUUCCGCGUGUAGCAGUGAAAUGCGUAGAUAUGCGGAAGAACACCAAUGGCGAAGGCAGCCCUCUGGGACAUGACUGACGCUCAUGCACGAAAGCGUGGGGAGCAAACA
Molecule: ribosomal RNA, 426 nt
Filed under: uncultured Burkholderiales bacterium
Lineage: Bacteria; Pseudomonadati; Pseudomonadota; Betaproteobacteria; Burkholderiales
Description: bacterial SSU rRNA
Rfam family: Bacterial small subunit ribosomal RNA
Source: RNAcentral